UCCCCGUUAACCGGGGCAGUCCCCCGAGAGUCCUCAGCAGUUUGCACUCUGUUAGCAACACGGGGCGGGGGUUGCGCUCGUUGCGGGACUUAACCCAACAUCUCACGACACGAGCUGACGACAGCCAUGCAGCACCUGUGCACGGGCUCCGAAGAGGGGCACCUGUUUCCAGGCGCUUUCCCGUGCAUGUCAAGCCUAGGUAAGGUUCUGCGCGUUGCGUCGAAUUAAACCACAUGCUCCACCGCUUGUGCGGGCCCCCGUCAAUUCCUUUGAGUUUCAGCCUUGCGGCCGUACUCCCCAGGCGGGGCACUUCAUGCGUUAGCGCCGGUACUCCAAGGGUCGCUCCCCGGAGCACCUAGUGCCCAUCGUUUACGGCGUGGACUAC
Molecule: unclassified non-coding RNA, 385 nt
Filed under: uncultured Gemmatimonadaceae bacterium
Lineage: Bacteria; Pseudomonadati; Gemmatimonadota; Gemmatimonadia; Gemmatimonadales; Gemmatimonadaceae
Description: contains 16S-23S intergenic spacer region
Source: RNAcentral